Drosophila montana is the source of this 950-nucleotide long non-coding RNA. RefSeq lists it as uncharacterized. The record is from RefSeq and is a predicted model, not a curated record. The transcript has 3 exons. NCBI's taxonomy places the organism in Eukaryota, Metazoa, Arthropoda, Insecta, Diptera, Drosophilidae.
GGCAGUUGUAAAACACCAUGUCUUUAAACAUAAAAUUAUCUUCACAUUUAUUUAUUUAUUCAAAAGUACAGUUCGAGUUCUUCAAACGUAUUUUCGUACAAUAUUACGAUCAUCCUUCAGAAUUGCUGCAAAUUUCCAAGUACAUAAAUCGCAUACGCAUAAACCAACUGAUAAAGAUUAAGAGUGCAGAGUGAAGGAUAAAGGCAGAGUGACUCGAGUCACUGCAUUUGCAUCCUCUUGCCGUGCAUCUUAAUCCUUGGCCGCUCGAUGAUUGCGGCUGUGCAUAAAAAGGCAACACCAAGCCACAAUUGCUUUUCGCCAAUAAAAUUUAACAAAACAAAAAAAACGAAAACGUGCAAUAUAAUUAAUGUAAAUUACCAGCGAUUAACCCCAAACUCAAUGCCAAUGCGGCUGACAGCAGCCCCCGCCGCUAACAACGAGCUAAAGCCACAAUUUGUACAAAUAUAUUGGCUACGUGCACUCUAUAAGUUAUCGCCCAGGCAAAUCCCAAACAGCAUACAAAUGAUGCAAAAGUACAGUGGACAAUAACAACAGCAACAACAACAACAACAACAAUAAGGAACUCACAACAAAUAAACAUUUGUCAUGUUGCAUUGAUGCCAAAAAUGGCAUCGAGGCCAUUUUAUGGACCGAACUUCGACUCGAGAGAUAAAGCCAGGGCGUGCGAAUGCUGUCAUAUAUUUAUACCCUCAAGCCAUUGAAAUGGGAAUGAUGGUUUUGUGCAAAGCAAAGUGGUUAGCCCCAAACCCAAACCCAGUACUCGGAACUCGACCGAAUCCAGCCAAAUCGCAUAAUCGCCGGUCCAGGCAACAGGCCCGUCGGGCUGAGCCUGAGUUUGAAUUGGAGAAGAGCGCGUGUCGUGACUUUUUUUCAGCACGAACAAUAAAUCACAUACAGCCACUAUAAAAAUUGUUGACAUAUUUACUUCA